Molecule: ribosomal RNA, 429 nt
Filed under: bacterium
Lineage: Bacteria
Description: partial 16S ribosomal RNA
Rfam family: Bacterial small subunit ribosomal RNA
Source: RNAcentral
UAGGGAAUCUUCCACAAUGGACGCAAUUCUGAUGGAGCAACGCCGCGUGAGUGAAGAAGGUUUUCGGAUCGUAAAGCUCUGUUGUUGGUGAAGAAGGAUAGAGGCAGUAACUGGUCUUUAUUUGACGGUAAUCAACCAGAAAGUCACGGCUAACUACGUGCCAGCAGCCGCGGUAAUACGUAGGUGGCAAGCGUUGUCCGGAUUUAUUGGGCGUAAAGCGAGCGCAGGCGGAAUGUUAAGUCUGAUGUGAAAGCCCACGGCUCAACCGUGGAACUGCAUCGGAAACUGUCAUUCUUGAGUGCAGAAGAGGAGAGUGGAAUUCCAUGUGUAGCGGUGGAAUGCGUAGAUAUAUGGAAGAACACCAGUGGCGAAGGCGGCUCUCUGGUCUGCAACUGACGCUGAGGCUCGAAAGCAUGGGUAGCGAACAGG